CCUACGGGUGGCAGCAGUGAGGAAUAUUGGUCAAUGGCCGGAAGGCUGAACCAGCCAUGCCGCGUGAAGGUCAGUGCCCUAUGGGCGUUAAACUUCUUUUGUGCGGGAGCAAUAAUGGUCACGUGUGGCCAGACGAGAGUACCGUACGAAUAAGCAUCGGCUAACUCCGUGCCAGCAGCCGCGGUAAUACGGGGGAUGCAAGCGUUAUCCGGAUUUAUUGGGUUUAAAGGGUGCGUAGGCUGUGAGGUAAGUCAGCGGUGAAAUGCCCCCGCUCAACGGGGUGAAGUGCCAUUGAUACUGCCUGGCUGGAAUGCGGAUGCGGUGGGAGGAAUGUGUGGUGUAGCGGUGAAAUGCAUAGAGAUCACACAGAACACCGAUUGCGAAGGCAUCUCACGAAUCCGCGAUUGACGCUGAUGCACGAAAGCGUGGGUAUCAAACAGGAUUAGAUACCCUUGUAGUC
This 460-nucleotide ribosomal RNA is filed under the name uncultured bacterium. Its description in RNAcentral is "partial 16S ribosomal RNA". It matches the Rfam family "Bacterial small subunit ribosomal RNA", at positions 338 to 795 of the family's 1533-position model. The record is from RNAcentral.